GAUGAACGCUAGCUACAGGCUUAACACAUGCAAGUCGCGGGGCAUCAUGGAGGUUGCUUGCAAUUUCUGAUGGCGACCGGCGCACGGGUGAGUAACGCGUAUCCAACCUUCCCAUUACUACGGCAUACCCCGUUGAAAGGCGGCCUAAUUCCGUAUGCAGUCCGAAGCAGUCAUCUAAUUUGGACGAAAGGUAUAUUCUAUCGGUAAUGGAUGGGGAUGCGUCCGAUUAGCCAGCCGGCGGGGUAACGGCCCACCGGGGCAUCGAUCGGUAGGGGUUCUGAGAGGAAGGUCCCCCACACUGGAACUGAGACACGGUCCAGACUCCUACGGGAGGCAGCAGUGAGGAAUAUUGGUCAAUGGGCGUAAGCCUGAACCAGCCAAGUAGCGUGCAGGAUGACGGCCCUAUGGGUUGUAAAACUGCUUUUAUGCGGGGAUAAAAGUUGGGGA
RNAcentral lists this ribosomal RNA (447 nucleotides) under Hoylesella oralis. Its description in RNAcentral is "bacterial SSU rRNA". It matches the Rfam family "Bacterial small subunit ribosomal RNA", at positions 28 to 459 of the family's 1533-position model. Lineage: Bacteria; Pseudomonadati; Bacteroidota; Bacteroidia; Bacteroidales; Prevotellaceae. The record is from RNAcentral.